Molecule: long non-coding RNA, 840 nt
Filed under: Nicotiana tabacum (common tobacco)
Lineage: Eukaryota; Viridiplantae; Streptophyta; Magnoliopsida; Solanales; Solanaceae
Description: long non-coding RNA (NTAB_LNC000506)
Source: RNAcentral
AAAAAUCAUACAGAAAGUGUGAAUCAAUUUCAAUAAAUAAUGAAGAAUUUCAGUAUUUUGUCCCUACUUUCUAUUGCUCUUCUAUUGAGCUUCUCAGCUCCUUCUCUUGGUAUGAAUUUCUUUACUUCUUAGCAUUAAUCAUUUUGAUUUGAUUAUGCACAAAUUUUAAUUCCAUUGUCUGUGUGACCUUGUUUACCCUAAAAAAAAAAGUAUAAUUUAAUUUAUAACGUGGUUUAUAAACACGUGAAUUAAAUUAAUUCGGGAAAAUAAUUCCAUUGUCUACUUUGUGCUCAAUCAACUGCACCUUUUUUGAGGGUAAACAAACCUAUAAGUCACGAGUUCGAGCCUGGUCACGGAUUCGAUCGAGCCGUUGAAUCAGUCAUUGAUGCUUCCAUCAGGGUAGGAUAUCUACAUUAUACCCCCUUGGGGUGUGGCCUUUCUCCGGACCUUGCGUAACACGGGAUACUUUAUGCACCAGACUGUCUUUUAUUUUUUAAAAUUGUCAUGAUAUAAAGGCUAAUUUAUUCUUUUUUUUGGUUUGGUCUUAAAAUUUUAGGGCAACCACCAAAAUUAUGUCCAACGAGCUUCCCAGUGGACGAUAAGUGUGGCAAUUUCAGUUGCGCUUUAGAAGCCAUAAAAAAAUAUCCAGCUAGUGAAAUGCCCCAAAAAUGCGGUUGUAGUUCACAAGGGAGUGGCAGCAUAUGCUCCUGCUUUAUAGUUUGUCAACCUCCAAAAUAAAUGCAAUUAUAUUAGCAAGUUUAUGAGUAUAAUGUUCUGGGAAUUAUUUUGAUAAACUCUCUGGAGUAUAUUCACCGACAAAUAAAAGAGUAAAGUUUGUAG